CGGCGGACGGGUGAGUAACGCGUGGAUAACCUGCCUCACACAGGGGGAUAACAGUUAGAAAUGACUGUUAAUACCGCAUAAGCGCACGGUACCGCAUGGUACAGUGUGAAAAACUCCGGUGGUGUGAGAUGGAUCCGCGUCUGAUUAGGUAGUUGGUGAGGUAACGGCCCACCAAGCCGACGAUCAGUAGCCGACCUGAGAGGGUGACCGGCCACAUUGGGACUGAGACACGGCCCAA
This 238-nucleotide ribosomal RNA is filed under the name uncultured bacterium. Its description in RNAcentral is "partial 16S ribosomal RNA". It matches the Rfam family "Bacterial small subunit ribosomal RNA", at positions 96 to 334 of the family's 1533-position model. The record is from RNAcentral.